Molecule: ribosomal RNA, 409 nt
Filed under: uncultured Rhodococcus sp.
Lineage: Bacteria; Bacillati; Actinomycetota; Actinomycetes; Mycobacteriales; Nocardiaceae
Description: bacterial SSU rRNA
Rfam family: Bacterial small subunit ribosomal RNA
Source: RNAcentral
UGGGGAAUAUUGCACAAUGGGCGGAAGCCUGAUGCAGCGACGCCGCGUGAGGGACGAAGGCCUUCGGGUUGUAAACCUCUUUCAGCAGGGACGAAGCGUGAGUGACGGUACCUGCAGAAGAAGCACCGGCUAACUACGUGCCAGCAGCCGCGGUAAUACGUAGGGUGCGAGCGUUGUCCGGAAUUACUGGGCGUAAAGAGUUCGUAGGCGGUUUGUCGCGUCGUUUGUGAAAACCCGGGGCUCAACUUCGGGCUUGCAGGCGAUACGGGCAGACUUGAGUGUUUCAGGGGAGACUGGAAUUCCUGGUGUAGCGGUGAAAUGCGCAGAUAUCAGGAGGAACACCGGUGGCGAAGGCGGGUCUCUGGGAAACAACUGACGCUGAGGAACGAAAGCGUGGGUAGCAAACAGG